RNAcentral lists this small RNA (116 nucleotides) under Salmonella enterica. RNAcentral describes it as "partial RtT sRNA". It matches the Rfam family "RtT RNA", at positions 16 to 130 of the family's 130-position model. From Rfam's summary of the family: This family represents a bacterial cis-regulatory element known as RtT RNA. The record is from RNAcentral. Lineage: Bacteria; Pseudomonadati; Pseudomonadota; Gammaproteobacteria; Enterobacterales; Enterobacteriaceae. RNAcentral also lists the same sequence under 7 other names.
GGAAGGAUGAGAAGCUUCGACCAAGGUUCGAUUCGAGCGCAGCGAGAAAGCGUUGCCGCAGGCAACGACCCGAAGGGCGAAGCGCGCAGCGCUGAGUCAUCCUUCCCCCACCACCA